Molecule: ribosomal RNA, 468 nt
Filed under: uncultured bacterium
Lineage: Bacteria
Description: partial 16S ribosomal RNA
Rfam family: Bacterial small subunit ribosomal RNA
Source: RNAcentral
GACGAACGCUGGCGGCGUGCUUAACACAUGCAAGUCGAACGGAAAGGCCCUGCUUUUGUGGGGUGCUCGAGUGGCGAACGGGUGUGUAACACGGGAGUAACCUGCCCUUGACUGUGGGAUAACUUCAGGAAACUGGGGCUAAUACCGUAUAGGAGCUCCUGCUGCAUGGUGGGGGUUGGAAAGUUUCGUCGGUUGGGGAUGGACUCGCGGCUUAUCAGCUGGUGGGUGGGGUAGUGGCUUACCAAGGCUUUGACGGGUAGCCGGCCAGAGAGGGUGACCGGCCACAUUGGGACUGAGAUACGGCCAAGACUCCUACGGGAGGAAGCAGUGGGGAAGAUUGAACAAUGGGCGGAAGCCUGAUGCAGGAACGCCGCGUGCGGGAUGACGGCCUUCGGGUUGUAACCCGCUUUCGCCUGUGACGAAGCGUGAGUGACGGUAAUGGGUAAAGAAGCACCGGCUAACUACGUG